ACAGUGGACGCGAGCAUCUUUGUAGUAACAACAAGCUACUAAGGGCAAUCGGUGGAUGCCUAGGCACCAAGAGCCGAUGAAGGACGUCGAUGUCCGGCGACCUCCGCCUGAAUAUAUAGGGCGGUUGGAGGGAACGUGGGGAAGUGAAACAUCUCAGUACCCACAGGAAAAGAAAACAACAGUGAUUCCGUCAGUAGUGGCGAGCGAACGCGGAAGAGGCCAAACCGUACGUGUGUGAUAGCUGACAGGCGUUGCAUGUGCGGUGUUGUGGGGCCAUUCUGACCGUGCUGUCGACCGGUCGAGCAGUCAAAAAUGACACAUGAAGUCGAAGCGUUCUGGGAAGGCGCGGCAUAGCAGGUAACACCCCUGUAGACGUAAGUGUGUCACUGCUGAGUGUCACCCCAAGUAGCAGCCAACCCCUGAAAUUGGCUGUGAAUCCGGCGGGACCACCCGCUAAGCCUAAAUACUCCUUGGUGACCGAUAGCGGACUAGUACCGUGAGGGAAAGGUGAAAAGUACCCCGGGAGGGGAGUGAAAUAGUACCUGAAACCGAUUGCCUACAAUCCGUCGGAGCUGAGCCGCAAGGCGAGGUGACGGCGUGCCUUUUGAAGAAUGAGCCUGCGAGUUAGUGGUAUGUGGCGAGGUUAACCCGUGUGGGGAAGCCGUAGCGAAAGCAAGUCCGAAUAGGGCGUCGAGUCGCAUGCUCUAGACCCGAAGCGGAGUGAUCUAUCCAUGGCCAGGGUGAAGCGACGGUAAGACGUCGUGGAGGCCCGAACCCACCAGGGUUGAAAACCUGGGGGAUGAGCUGUGGAUAGGGGUGAAAGGCCAAUCAAACUCCGUGAUAGCUGGUUCUCCCCGAAAUGCAUAUAGGUGCAGCGUCGCGUGUUCCUUGCCGGAGGUAGAGCACUGGAUAGUCUAGGGGGCCCACAAGCUUACCGAAAUUAGCCAAACUCCGAAUGCCGGUAAGCCAAGCGCGGCAGUGAGACUGCGGGCGAUAAGGUUCGUAGUCGAGAGGGAAACAGCCCAGAACACCAGCUAAGGCCCCUAAGCGAUGGCUAAGUGGAAAAGGAUGUGGAGUUGCGGAGACAACCAGGAGGUUGGCUUGGAAGCAGCCACCCUUGAAAGAGUGCGUAAUAGCUCACUGGUCAAGUGAUUCUGCGCCGACAAUUUAGCGGGGCUCAAGCCAUCCGCCGAAGCUGUGUCAUCUGCGUAACACCCUCACUUCGGUGCAGGGGCGUGGAUGGGUAGGGGAGCGUCGUGUGCGCGAUGAAGCGGCAGGGUGACCUAGCCGUGGAGAGCACACGAGUGAGAAUGCAGGCAUGAGUAGCGAAUGAGGAGUGAGAAACUCCUCCACCGAAAGACCAAGGGUUCCAGGGUCAAGCUAAUCUGCCCUGGGU
Molecule: ribosomal RNA, 1396 nt
Filed under: Sphingomonas sp.
Lineage: Bacteria; Pseudomonadati; Pseudomonadota; Alphaproteobacteria; Sphingomonadales; Sphingomonadaceae
Description: partial 23S ribosomal RNA
Rfam family: Bacterial large subunit ribosomal RNA
Source: RNAcentral